CAGUUCUGUCGAGGGGACAAGCUCAUGAAAGACCUGCCUGAGCCGGAUGACUAUGCUGAAGAGGAGCAAGACUGGACACUGCUGUUUGGCCGUCUGCGCCAGGGCAAGGACCAGGAGGAGGUGGAACAUGACCUGCUAGGCCUGCUCAAGUUGCUCUACAAGCGCCUCAAGGGCCUCAAGAAGCAACUCAAGGACAUUCACAAGAUCAAGGAUCCGCAAGAAGAGACAGGCCCUUCUGGACUUCCAGAUGGAGCUUGGCAAAUUGGAGGGUGAAGUUGGACAGCUGAGUGCCAACCUGCCCGUCGACCUGAUUAGCCCCGAUGUCCACCGUGUCGUUAGUGGCUGUCUGUCCUCCAUGAGUGAUGACUCUACGAAAUGAGGGCCAGCGCCCAGGCUGAUUUGGAUGGAUUGCCCAUACCUGAUGUCACCCUGGAGGCUCCCAGUGUGUCCCUCUCUGCUGAUCUGAGCCUGCCCAAGGGAGACGAUGAUGACAGCAAGAAGAAGAAGAAGGAUAAGGAUGACACCUCUGGCAAGUCCAAGAGCUCCUUCUUUGUGGCCUCUUCAAGUUCAAGCUACCCGACUUCUCUGGCUUCAAGUUUGAAGGCAAACCCGUUCUGUCGAGGUGGACAAGCUCAUGAAAGACCUGCCUGAGCCGGAUGACUAUGCUGAAGAGGAGCAAGACUGGACACUGCUGUUUGGCCGUCUGCGCCAGGGCAAGGACCAGGAGGAGGUGGAACAUGACCUGCUAGGCCUGCUCAAGUUGCUCUACAAGCGCCUCAGGGCCUCAAGAAGCAACUCAAGGACAUUCACAAGAUCAAGGAUCCAGCCAAGAAGAGACAGGCCCUUCUGGACUUCCAGAUGGAGCUUGGCAAAUUGGAGGGUGAAGUUGGACAGCUGAGUGCCAACCUCCCGUCGACCUGAUUAGCCCCGAUGUCCACCGUGUCGUUAGUGGCUGUCUGUCCUCCAUGAGUGAUGACCUCACCGAAAUGAGGGCCAGCGCCCAGGCGAUUUGGAUGGAUUGCCCAUACCUGAUGUCACCCUGGAGGCUCCCAGUGUGUCCCUCUCUGCUGAUCUGAGCCUGCCCAAGGGAGACGAUGAUGACAAGGAAGAAGAAGAAGGAUAAGGAUGACACCUCUGGCAAGUCCAAGAGCUCCUUCUUUGUGGCCUCUUCAAGUUCAAGCUACCCGACUUCUCUGGCUUCAAGUUUGAAGGCAAACCCAGUUCUGUCGAGGUGGACAAGCUCAUGAAAGACCUGCCUGAGCCGGAUGACUAUGCUGAAGAGGAGCAAGACUGGACACUGCUGUUUGGCCGUCUGCGCCAGGGCAAGGACCAGGAGGAGGUGGAACAUGACCUGCUAGGCCUGCUCAAGUUGCUCUACAAGCGCCUCAAGGCCUCAAGAAGCAACUCAAGGACAUUCACAAGAUCAAGGAUCCAGCCAAGAAGAGACAGGCCCUUCUGGACUUCCAGAUGGAGCUUGGCAAAUUGGAGGGUGAAGUUGGACAGCUGAGUGCCAACCUGCCCGUUGACCUGAUUAGCCCCGAUGUCCACCGUGUCGUUAGUGGCUGUCUGUCCUCCAUGAGUGAUGACCUCACCGAAAUGAGGGCCAGCGCCCAGGCUGAUUUGGAUGGAUUGCCCAUACCUGAUGUCACCCUGGAGGCUCCCAGUGUGUCCCUCUCUGCUGAUCUGAGCCUGCCCAGGGAGACGAUGAUGACAGCAAGAAGAAGAAGAAGGAUAAGGAUGACACCUCUGGCAAGUCCAAGAGCUCCUUCUUUGGUGGCCUCUUCAAGUUCAAGCUACCCGACUUCUCUGGCUUCAAGUUUGAAGGCAAACCCAGUUCUGUCGAGGUGGACAAGCUCAUGAAAGACCUGCCUGAGCCGGAUGACUAUGCUGAAGAGGAGCAAGACUGGACACUGCUGUUUGGCCGUCUGCGCCAGGGCAAGACCAGGAGGAGGUGGAACAUGACCUGCUAGGCCUGCUCAAGUUGCUCUACAAGCGCCUCAAGGGCCUCAAGAAGCAACUCAAGGACAUUCACAAGAUCAAGGAUCCAGCCAAGAAGAGACAGGCCCUUCUGGACUUCCAGGUAGAGUGUUUCCACUUACUCCUUUCUGCAUUGACUCUCUACGUAGUAGGAUGCCUUCUCUCGGGAAGCAAUGGAUUGGCCUUGGGAU
RNA transcript from Tigriopus californicus, 2168 nucleotides. RefSeq lists it as uncharacterized. The transcript has 4 exons. The record is from RefSeq and is a predicted model, not a curated record. NCBI's taxonomy places the organism in Eukaryota, Metazoa, Arthropoda, Copepoda, Harpacticoida, Harpacticidae.